Molecule: ribosomal RNA, 254 nt
Filed under: uncultured bacterium
Lineage: Bacteria
Description: partial 16S ribosomal RNA
Rfam family: Bacterial small subunit ribosomal RNA
Source: RNAcentral
UACGUAGGGUGCGAGCGUUGUCCGGAAUUAUUGGGCGUAAAGAGCUCGUAGGCGGUUUGUCGCGUCUGCUGUGAAAACGCGAGGCUCAACCUCGCGCCUGCAGUGGGUACGGGCAAACUAGAGUGUUGCAGGGGAGACUGGAAUUCCUGGUGUAGCGGUGAAAUGCGUAGAGAUCCGGAGGAACACCAGCGGCGAAGGCGGCAUCCUGGACUGGUACUGACGCUCAGGAGCGAAAGCGUGGGGAGCGAGUCCGG